CUAUUAUAGUGCUGAAAUGCUGAUCUUUUCAAAGAAGUACAUCUAUGGUAGCAUCAAGCGUGUUUGUAAUGAUGGCUGUACAUUACAGAACUCGCAGCGCAGUUAAAUGGUUCACCAGAAAAGUUACAUCCGAAAGAUCAGGAAAUCCUAUAAAGAGCAUCCGAUUUAUAUUUCAAUUGCAAAACAGUAUUAUCUUUAUAGACACAGAAAAGGUGAUUUAAAAAUCAACUCAAAAUGAAAAUAGCUUUUUCUCUUUGGGAGGGAGGGGGUAAAAUAUGGACCUUCCAAAAAAAAAAACUAAAGCGAUUUGUAAAUCCAAAGGAGAUUUUCAUGCACUAGAGUUUUGGGUGCAAAAUCAUCCCUCAUAAGCAAUGAAAUUGACUGCAGCAGUGCCAUUAGGUAACCUAAAAGUAUUCAAGGAUGAAUGUUAUUUUGGCAACCAAGACCAUAAACUUAGCACCGCUCCAAACUGAAGAGAGCAUGGCAGGGAGGAUCUUGCAUUCAGUCUGCAGCAAACGUUUUCCGCAUCGGAGACCACUCAGAAAUGAAAUGGAUACAGUUCAGCGCUCUUUAUAUUACUGUAGCUUGUUUCUGUACCGUUACAGACCUGAACAGCAUAUGCACCUUUAAUAAUAUAGGCAGAUAUUUGUGUCGUAAAGCAGUCUUGCCAUUUAUAGUUCAAAUUAUAUGCUCGAUCACAUGCGUACUUGUAGUUCCCGGACAGAGCCUGUAGCUUCAACAGCUCCUUGAAGUGUUUGAAUCAUUGAGAGCGUAAAGCCUUUCAAGCCUCUAAACGGGUAAACCUCGCAAACCCUGUCAAGAACAUACUAUAAUUUAAGACCAUUGAGAUUUUCUGGCAUUACAUUCAUGAUGAUAAUUUAUUACACAACAGAUGUCAGGUGUAUUGCCUGGUCAAUUUAGAUCAAAACAACAGCACCACAAACAAAAUAAAAAAACAUAUCACGUGUAUUACGGUAAGGAGAAAUAGGGGGAAAAAAUUUAUCAGGUGCAUUAUUCUAAUGUAUAGUAUGAGAAUUUAAGAAAAAUGCCACAAAAAGAGGUGUAUUAGGGUAAUGACAAUUGGCAAGAAACGCAAAGAAAAAAAUAUCAGGUGUAUUAGGGUAAUGAGAAUUGAGGAAGAAAAAAAAGGGUGCAUUACAGUAAUUGAGGGGAAAUGCACAAAACAUUGAGGUGCAUUAGGGUAGUGACAAUUGGCAAGAAAUGCAAAAAAAAUAUCAAGUGAAUUAGGGUAAUGACAACUGAGGGAAAACGCACAAAAAAAAAACAAACAAAAAAAAACCCCGAGGUGCAUUAGGGUAAUGAGAAUUGAUGGAAAACGCCCAAAA
Molecule: long non-coding RNA, 1346 nt
Organism: Sinocyclocheilus anshuiensis
Lineage: Eukaryota; Metazoa; Chordata; Actinopteri; Cypriniformes; Cyprinidae
Exons: 2
Source: RefSeq, a predicted model, not a curated record